Molecule: ribosomal RNA, 448 nt
Filed under: uncultured bacterium
Lineage: Bacteria
Description: bacterial SSU rRNA
Rfam family: Bacterial small subunit ribosomal RNA
Source: RNAcentral
AUGCCAGACUCCUACGGGAGGCAGCAGUGGGGAAUAUUGCGCAAUGGGCGAAAGCCUGACGCAGCAACGCCGCGUGGGUGAAGAAGCGCCUCGGCGCGUAAAGCCCUGUCAGCAGGGAAGAAAAUGACGGUACCUGAAGAAGAAGCCCCGGCUAACUACGUGCCAGCAGCCGCGGUAAUACGUAGGGGGCAAGCGUUAUCCGGAUUUACUGGGUGUAAAGGGGGCGCAGACGGCGAUGCAAGCCAGGAGUGAAAGCCCGGGGCCCAACCCCGGGACUGCUCUUGGAACUGCGUGGCUGGAGUGCAGGAGGGGCAGGCGGAAUUCCGUGUGUAGCGGUGAAAUGCGUAGAUAUACGGAGGAACACCAGUGGCGAAGGCGGAUUGCUGGACAGUAACUGACGCUGAGGCGCGAAAGCGUGGGGAGCAAACAGGAUUAGAUACCCGGGUAU